CCUACGGGAGGCAGCAGUGAGGAAUAUUGGUCAAUGGACGAGAGUCUGAACCAGCCAAGUAGCGUGAAGGAUGACUGCCCUAUGGGUUGUAAACUUCUUUUAUAAAGGAAUAAAACGUGGCACGUGUGCCUUUUUGCAUGUACUUUAUGAAUAAGGAUCGGCUAACUCCGUGCCAGCAGCCGCGGUAAUACGGAGGAUCCGAGCGUUAUCCGGAUUUAUUGGGUUUAAAGGGAGCGUAGAUGGGUUGUUAAGUCAGUUGUGAAAGUUUGCGGCUCAACCGUAAAAUUGCAAUUGAUACUGGCAGUCUUGAGUACAGUUGAGGUAGGCGGAAUUCGUGGUGUAGCGGUGAAAGGCUUAGAUAUCACGAAGAACCCCGAUUGCGAAGGCAGCUUACUAAACUGUGACUGACAUUGAUGCUCGAAAGUGUGGGUAUCAAACAGGAUUAGAUACCCGAGUAGUC
RNAcentral lists this ribosomal RNA (460 nucleotides) under uncultured bacterium. RNAcentral's name for it is "partial 16S ribosomal RNA". It matches the Rfam family "Bacterial small subunit ribosomal RNA", at positions 338 to 795 of the family's 1533-position model. The record is from RNAcentral.